This 433-nucleotide ribosomal RNA is filed under the name uncultured bacterium. RNAcentral describes it as "partial 16S ribosomal RNA". It matches the Rfam family "Bacterial small subunit ribosomal RNA", at positions 29 to 507 of the family's 1533-position model. The record is from RNAcentral.
AACGAACGCUGGCGGCAUGCCUAACACAUGCAAGUCGAACGAGACCUUCGGGUCUAGUGGCGCACGGGUGCGUAACGCGUGGGAACCUGCCCUUAGGUUCGGAAUAACUCCCCGAAAGGGGUGCUAAUACCGGCUAAUGUCUUCGGACCAAAGAUUUAUCGCCGUUGGAUGGGCCCGCGCUGGAUUAGCUAGUUGGUAGGGUAAAAGCCUACCAAGGCGACGAUCCAUAGCUGGUCUGAGAGGAUGAUCAGCCACACUGGGACUGAGACACGGCCCAGACUCCUACGGGAGGCAGCAGUGGGUAAUAUUGGACAAUGGGCGAAAGCCUGAUCCAGCAAUGCCGCGUGAGUGAUGAAGGCCUUAGGGUUGUAAAGCUCUUUUACCCGGGAGGAUAAUGACAGUACCGGGAGAAUAAGCUCCGGCUAACUCCGUG